GACGAACGCUGGCGGCGUGCUUAACACAUGCAAGUCGAACGGAAAGGCCCUGCUUUUGUGGGGUGCUCGAGUGGCGAACGGGUGAGUAACACGUGAGUAACCUGCCCUUGACUUUGGGAUAACUUCAGGAACCUGGGGCUAAUACCGGAUAGGAGCUCCUGCUGAAUGGUGGGGGUUGGAAAGUUUCGGCGGUUGGGGAUGGACUCGCGGCUUAUCAGCUUGUUGGUGGGGUAGUGGCUUACCAAGGCUUUGACGGGUAGCCGGCCUGAGAGGGUGACCGGCCACAUUGGGACUGAGAUACGGCCCAGACUCCUACGGGAGGCAGCAGUGGGGAAUAGUGCACAAUGGGCGGAAGCCUGAUGCAGCAACGCCGCGUGCGGGAUGACGGCCUUCGGGUUGUAAACCGCUUUCGCCUGUGACGAAGCGUGAGUGACGGUAAUGGGUAAAGAAGCACCGGCUAACUACGUG
Molecule: ribosomal RNA, 468 nt
Filed under: uncultured bacterium
Lineage: Bacteria
Description: partial 16S ribosomal RNA
Rfam family: Bacterial small subunit ribosomal RNA
Source: RNAcentral